AAAAAUAUGGAAUGCUUCACGAAUUUGCAUGUCAUCCUUGCACAAGGGCCAUGCUAAUCUUGUCUGUAGUGUUCCAAUUUUAGUAUAUGUGCCGCCAAAGUGAGCAC
RNAcentral lists this small nuclear RNA (107 nucleotides) under Cricetulus griseus (Chinese hamster). The record is from RNAcentral. Lineage: Eukaryota; Metazoa; Chordata; Mammalia; Rodentia; Cricetidae.